Molecule: long non-coding RNA, 4090 nt
Organism: Cercocebus atys (sooty mangabey)
Lineage: Eukaryota; Metazoa; Chordata; Mammalia; Primates; Cercopithecidae
Exons: 4
Source: RefSeq, a predicted model, not a curated record
UCAGACAAUCUGCCCGUCUCGGCCUCCCAAAAUGCUGGGAUUACAGGCAUGAGCCACCAUGCCUGGCCUUAUACCUUUAUUUUAAGUAUGUGUAAGAUUUAUUUUUAAAUCACUGCUGCUAUUUGACUUCUUUGGUCAUUAGCUAGGUAAGAAGGAAUAGAUGAAAUUAUAGCAGAUCAGUCUCUACAGAACUGAAAAUUAGUGAAUUUAAAAGCAUGCUAAAAUACAAAGAGAAAAAAAAUAGGACAGUGUCUUAGCCACCUAUGGGAUAAUAUCAACUAAUCUAAUAUACUUGUAUUUUGUGUCCUAGAAGUUGGAGUAGUGGAAACAAAGAUAGUAUGUUAAGAAAUAAUGGCUGAAAAGUGUCCUAGUUGAUGAAAACUAUAAGCCCACAGAUCACUAGAAAUUCAACAAACAAGAACCACCUUAUAUAUCCAAGAAAUAAAAUGACUAUGAAAGACAAAGCAACAGAAAAAAAAAAAGUCCUGAGCCAAGACCUUGUACUAAUAGAUGCACUAAAGCAAAACAAGCACACACUUGAAGAAUAAUGAAAUUAAUGGCCAAAAUAUUGACAAUGCCAUCUACAAAGAACUAUUUUGAUAGGAAUCCUCAUUUAACAAAAUAAACUCAACAAUACAUGCUCACUGAGAGUCAGAGUACAGAUCAAUAUUGAGACAAAAAUACUUCGAACAAAUCCAAAGGAUAAAUGAAAUCUGGACCCAAAGGGACCUGAACAGCCCUUAGGCCAAGGGAAGAGGAGCUCCUGCCCUGGGCCUGAAGCUUGAGGGAGCAUCCCCACCGCAAAGCCAACAUCCUCCUUUUGAGACCACAUUCCAGGACAAAGAAAAUCACAAUAGGGCAUAAAGAGGAGAGGAAUGAUAGAGGACUCGACAAGCCACUAUAAAACUAAAACAAAAACAAAAUGAAGCAAAAGCCCACUUUGCUUCACCCUGAAAUGGCUCUGCCUUCUGGUAACCCCAAAUUCGACUUUCUCUCAGGAGGAAAGCAGGAACAGCAUAUUAAUGAGGUUUCAACUUUACAUUCUUAUAAUCAGUGAGAACUGCCUAAUAUUCUCUUGAUCACACUGGGUCACCUUCCUGUGCUAUUUGUUUGUUUUAAAUGCACCAAAAGCUGCUUUGUCUACAGUUCUGAAGGUCACUGGCUCCUGGGGAGAGAGGACAGGAAAACUGAAGGAGACUUUUUGCCAUGUACUGCUUGGAAGGGUGCCUUUUCAGAUGUGAAGGGCAGUUUGGCUUCCUAAACCUAAUUAUAUGGAGUUGUUUCUAGGAGAAUGCAGCUGCCCUACUCUACUGGGCACCUGAAAGAGUUAACGUUUCCCCCAAGUCCAGACUCAAGACAACAGAGUGCUGAUGUGUACUCGGAUGCCAUGGCCAUAUUUAUGAUUUGCCAGCUGAUCCAUUUGGCUUUGUAAGUUUAAUGUUUUCGGGUUGAUAGGUGAUAAUUUUGGUUGGAUUUAUGCAUCCGAUAAUCAACUAGGAAAUAAUUCUGAUUCAAUAAGAUACAUUACACAGCAGCAUCUAUUUCAGUAAGUAACAUCUCUGGAUUGCUGUAUACUACUAGGAAAUUCAAAUUUUUUCAAGAGAGUACAUCAGAUUUUUGGGAUGGUACCAUAUAUUUAUUUCAGACUAAAAAACUUGCUGGUAAUAUAAGCUGGCUAACUCAAUUUAGUUUGUAGAAAUGUAGUUAUUUUGAGGUCUAAUUCAUGGAUAUCUUUGCUAAAAUCUGAAGUGGAAUGAAGAUGUUCACAGACUUUGAUUGAAUAAAGGAUAAACCAAUAAAAGCAAAUGUACUAUUCAAUAUUUCACUAGUAUUCUGGCUGGUUGUAGUUUAUAUAAUUUGAAGAAAACAAGCAGCCACGGUUGCAGCUACAGCCGAUUAACUGUAGCUAUUAACUUUGUAAUCACUGGUGUGGGAAGAAAUGAUUUUAGCCACAAUAGAUCCUUUACUACCCCACUUUGGUAGACACUACAGUGAAACCUUGACCAGAACCCACAGCCUCUUGAUUCCCUGCAAAAAACCUUAUUGAAUUCAGAACUGCCUCUUCCCUGAAUAGAAACCAUCACUGCUGGGUUGCCACAACGGUACCAGUGACAUUUUCAGAGGAAUAUACAAACAGAUUCAAGUUUUCAAAGAUCUAUGUAUCCUUUUCUGCUUGGAUAUCUUUAAACUUGCACAAAAGCAAAUCCAUGCAUGAGGAUACACUUUAGAAUUCAUACGAUAUUAAUAGUUAUCAAGCACUUAUUCUACGGCAAACACUUUUUAGGAAGUUUGCAUGUGUUAAGUCAUUUAAUCCUCAAGGUGGCCCCACUAAGUGGAUGCAAUUAUUAUCAUUAUCCCCAUUUUACAGCUGAGAGGAUAACUAACUUGUCUAGAUCUCAUAAACGGAGGCAGAGCUGGGCUUUAACCCUGCAUUUUGCGGCUGGAUAUGGCACUUCUAAGUGCAGUGCUACACUUUACUGCAUGUUUUGCCCUCAAAACUGUUACUGUUGAUAAAGAUGAACAUAUUCUGAAUUUUCAUGUGUGCUUGAAUUUCAUAGCAAGUAUCUAUUAUCAGGCUCUCCAGGGAAAGCAGAUAUGUUAGGAGCCAGCCUUGGAACUGGCCAAGAAACAGAGCAUAUUUCUCUGAAUGUCUCCCAUCAGUAUUCUCCUGUUUUACUGAUGUUUUAUUAGCAGUUUUCUGUUUACAUUCUUUUGUCAAAUAAUAUCUUCCCUCUGAUAGUAAAGUGCACAGAUCUCAAGUGUACAGUUUGAUGAAUUUUGACAAAUAUAUGACCCUCUAAAUCAAUAUUCCAACCAAGUUAUAGAACGUUGCCAUCACCCUAGAAAAUUCUUACCCUGGAAAGUUCUCUUCAAGGUCUAUAGCCCCUCCUCCUCAGACAAUCACUGCUCUGAUUUCUACCUUCAUAUGUUAAUUUUGCCUAUUAUUGAACACACAGUAUGUCAUAUUGGGGGGUCUAGCAUCUUUCACUCAAUAGAGUGUUUUUGAGAUUCAUUCAUGUUAUUGCAUCUACUAGUAGUUCCUUCUUUUUAUUGCUAUGUGGUAUUCCAUUUGUAUGAAAAUGCCACAACUACUUUAUCUAUCCUUUUGUUGAUGGUUAAUUUGGUUAUUUUUAAAUUAAUGAAUGAAGCAGUAAUGAACAUCCUUGUUUAAAUCUUUUUGUGGAUAUAUGUUUUCAUUUCUUGUAGGUAAAUAUCUAAGUGUGGAAUUGAUGGAUUAUGAGGUAGCUAUAUUGUGAAGAUUGUAAAACAUUCAAGUAGCUUUCCAAAGUGAUUGCAUCAAUUCACAAUUCAAUUAGCCAUGUAUGAAAGAUCCAGUUGCUCCAUGUUGUCUCCCACACUUGGUAUUGUUAACACUUUUAUUUUUCAGUUAUUCUAAUGGAUGUUUGGGUAUUCUCAUUGUAGUUUUGAUUUGCGUUUCCUUGGUGAUUAAUAAUAUUGACAAUCUUUUCAUGAGUUUUAUUAACCAUUUGUAUAUCCCUUAUUGUGAAGUAUUUAUUUAAGUAUUUUGCCCAUUUUUAAAACUUUGGUUGUUUUAUUUUAAAAUUAUUGAUUUGUAGGAGUAAUUUAUCUAUCAGGGACACAAGUCUUUUGCCAAUGCUUGUCAGAAUGGGUUUCUCAGGAAGCAGAUGGAGAGGGAAAUGUAUGAGAAGUAUUAGGGAGUGCUCUUGGGAUCAACAUCUGUAGGAAGAAGGAAGAUUUUUAAAGGGAGAAACUGGCCACCUGUGUAGUCACAACAUAGGAAAUUCUGAACCUGGUGGGCCUUCAGAAUUUUCCUAAGUUGCAGUGUAGGACCAAACAUUUACACUCUUGAGUCAAUAAGACAUUAGAGGUGGACUACCCCCAAAAGGAGGUGUAACAUCUUCAACCUAGGCAAUUCUUGAAGAGGGCUGUCAACUGAGAGCUGUCAGCCAACAAUUUUCUAAGCAGUUCAUUGCAUAAUCCUGUAGUCGUAGAGAGGGGUCUUGGAGAUGCAACAUGCACUCGCGAUGGUUAGAUACAUGUAUUGCAAAUAUUUUCCCCAAGUUUAUUCAGAUUUCAUUUUCUUUAUAGUGUCUUUCGAUAAGCAGAA